UACAGAGGGGGCAAGCGUUGUUCGGAAUUACUGGGCGUAAAGGGCGCGUAGGCGGCCCGUUAAGUCGAACGUGAAAUCCCCAGGCUCAACCUGGGAACUGCGUCUGAUACUGGAUGGCUUGAAUCCGGGAGAGGGAUGCAGAAUUCCAGGUGUAGCGGUGAAAUGCGUAGAUAUCUGGAGGAAUACCGGUGGCGAAGGCGGCAUCCUGGACCGGCAUUGACGCUGAGGAGCGAAAGCCAGGGGAGCAAACGGG
This 253-nucleotide ribosomal RNA is filed under the name uncultured bacterium. RNAcentral describes it as "partial 16S ribosomal RNA". It matches the Rfam family "Bacterial small subunit ribosomal RNA", at positions 524 to 776 of the family's 1533-position model. The record is from RNAcentral.